Long non-coding RNA from Rosa rugosa (rugosa rose), 492 nucleotides. RefSeq lists it as uncharacterized. Lineage: Eukaryota; Viridiplantae; Streptophyta; Magnoliopsida; Rosales; Rosaceae. The transcript has 2 exons. The record is from RefSeq and is a predicted model, not a curated record.
GAGAGGAAGAGAACCAGAGUUCUCUCUGACCCGAAACGCGACCCGGAGACCUGCAAAGAGGAUCCGACCGGGGCUACUCCGUCCGGCCACCUCACAGCGGCGGACCACCGGCAUUAUCUUCGCAUCGACGUCGCCGUCACGUCUGUGGCCUCGGAUCGUGCAUGCACCGGCUGUAGACGGAGGACCGACGACUGGAAGCCCCGAACUCUCUCCGCCAACCUCUGCAAAUUCCGGCGUCUCCGACCACCUUCUGGGCCGUUUGUGUUCCACGACGCCGGCAGCUUUCCGGCUCUUCUUGGCUUCGUCCGGGCUUUGUUAAUCACAAAUUGUUGGGUUGAAUUGCGUCGAAGCCAUCAGCUCCUCACUAGUCGAGUUUUGGCAGUGAGUUUGGCUCGGUUGUAGUUGAUUACCGAAGGUAUAAUUCCAAACUUUGAAUUGGAAGAUUGCUCUGGUGAUGAAUUCGAAAUUGUGGACUGAAGAGCUUUUGAAUUA